Long non-coding RNA from Mandrillus leucophaeus (drill), 581 nucleotides. RefSeq lists it as uncharacterized. NCBI's taxonomy places the organism in Eukaryota, Metazoa, Chordata, Mammalia, Primates, Cercopithecidae. The transcript is spliced from 4 exons. The record is from RefSeq and is a predicted model, not a curated record.
CGGCCGCCCCCACCGCAUGACCUUCUGGGAUUUGUAGUAAUCAGGGCCACGCGGCUGGGCGCGCCCUCUAACAGCAGCACCGAGUGACCGCAGCGCAGGAGCGCGGGAAAAUGAGGCUGCGCGGGCUGAGGAGCGCACCAGUAGGAGCCGCCCCAGCGGUACCGCGCAGCGUCGCGUCCAGUCAGUGGGGAAUAAGGUCUUGGAGUUAGGUCAACAGGAGAAGAGUCAAGUGAGGUCACAGAUGAGUUGAAUCACUAGGAACAAGUCAAGAAGCCUCAAAAGAAUCAAAGAGUAAAAUAUCAAGAAUGGCCUUUAUUGAUUGCAAUGGGAAGCAAAAGAGGAGACCUGAAAUCAAAUGAGAAAGCGUAAGCAUCCUCAGGAGCAGCCCACUGGAUCUCAGUUCUGCCCUGCUCAGAGAAGUUCAGUAUCCAGGCAACUGAGGACAGAACCAGCUGGCACCAAAGACAUGAUGUUGAGGGGACCAGAGCCCCUUUCCCUCUGCCUCCAUACAUAACAGGGAGCAGGACCACACAGUCAGUCCCUGACAAGAAAAGGAGGGUGGAUUUUCUGAAAUAUGAUAU